This 256-nucleotide ribosomal RNA is filed under the name Salmonella enterica. Its description in RNAcentral is "partial 16S ribosomal RNA". It matches the Rfam family "Bacterial small subunit ribosomal RNA", at positions 1 to 253 of the family's 1533-position model. The record is from RNAcentral. Lineage: Bacteria; Pseudomonadati; Pseudomonadota; Gammaproteobacteria; Enterobacterales; Enterobacteriaceae.
AAAUUGAAGAGUUUGAUCAUGGCUCAGAUUGAACGCUGGCGGCAGGCCUAACACAUGCAAGUCGAACGGUAACAGGAAGCAGCUUGCUGCUUCGCUGACGAGUGGCGGACGGGUGAGUAAUGUCUGGGAAGCUGCCUGAUGGAGGGGGAUAACUACUGGAAACGGUGGCUAAUACCGCAUAACGUCGCAAGACCAAAGAGGGGGACCUUCGGGCCUCUUGCCAUCAGAUGUGCCCAGAUGGGAUUAGCUAGUUGGU